RNAcentral lists this ribosomal RNA (383 nucleotides) under uncultured eukaryote. Its description in RNAcentral is "partial 18S ribosomal RNA". It matches the Rfam family "Eukaryotic small subunit ribosomal RNA", at positions 592 to 976 of the family's 1831-position model. The record is from RNAcentral.
CAAUAGCGUAUAUUAAAGUUGUUGCAGUUAAAAAGCUCGUAGUUGGAUUUCUGGUGGGAGCGAUCGGUCUGGCGCUUAGCGCGAGUACUUGCAUCGUCUCCGGCCAUCCUUGGGGAGAGUCUGUCUGGCAUUAAGUUGUCGGGCAGAGGAUCCUCAUCGUUUACUGUGAAAAAAUUAGAGUGUUCAAAGCAGGCUUAUGCCGUUGAAUAUAUUAGCAUGGAAUAAUAAGAUAGGACUUUGGUACUAUUUUGUUGGUUUGCGCACCAAAGUAAUGAUUAAUAGGGACAGUUGGGGGUAUUCGUAUUCCGUUGUCAGAGGUGAAAUUCUUGGAUUUACGGAAGACGAACUACUGCGAAAGCAUUUAUCAAGGAUGUUUUCAUUAA